UACGUAGGCAGCGAGCGUUGUUCGGAAUUACUGGGCGUAAAGAGUGUGUAGGCGGUGCUCUAAGUUCGGUGUGAAAUCUCCCGGCUUAACUGGGAGGGUGCGCCGGAAACUGGAGUGCUCGAGCGUGGGAGAGGAAAGCGGAAUUCCCGGUGUAGCGGUGAAAUGCGUAGAUAUCUGGAGGAACACCGAUGGCGAAGGCAGGUCUCUGGGCUGAAACUGACGCUCAUGCACGAAAGCGUGGGGAGCAAACAGG
Molecule: ribosomal RNA, 253 nt
Filed under: uncultured bacterium
Lineage: Bacteria
Description: partial 16S ribosomal RNA
Rfam family: Bacterial small subunit ribosomal RNA
Source: RNAcentral